GCUCGUAGUUGGAUUUUGGUUAAGAGGGCGCGGUCGGCCGUUUGGUCUGUACUGCGUUGUCUUGACUUCCUGAUGAGGACAUGCUCUUGGUUAACGCUGAGACAUGGAGUCAUCGUGGUUACUUUGAAAAAAUUAGAGUGUUCAAAGCGGGCUUACGCUUGAAUAUAUUAGCAUGGAAUAACACUAUAGGACUCCUGUCCUAUCUCGUUGGUCUCGGGAUGGGAGUAAUGAUUAAGAGGAACAGUUGGGGGCAUUCGUAUUUCAUUGUCAGAGGUGAAAUUCUUGGAUUUAUGAAAGACGAACUUCUGCGAAAGCAUUUGCCAAGGAUGUUUUCAUUAAUCAAGAACGAAAGUUGGGGGCUCGAAGAUGAUUAGAUACCAUCCUAGUCUCAACCAUAAACGAUGCCGACUAGGGAUUGGUGGAUGUUAAUUGAUGACUUCACCAGCACCUUAUGAGAAAUCAAAGUUUUUGGGUUCCGGGGGGAGUAUGGUCGCAAGGCUGAAACUUAAAGGAAUUGACGGAAGGGCACCACCAGGCGUGGAGCCUGCGGCUUAAUUUGACUCAACACGGGGAAACUUACCAGGUCCAGACAUAAGUAUGAUUGACAGAUUGAGAGCUCUUUCUUGAUUC
This 630-nucleotide ribosomal RNA is filed under the name Bathycoccus prasinos. RNAcentral's name for it is "SSU rRNA". It matches the Rfam family "Eukaryotic small subunit ribosomal RNA", at positions 626 to 1268 of the family's 1831-position model. The record is from RNAcentral. Lineage: Eukaryota; Viridiplantae; Chlorophyta; Mamiellophyceae; Mamiellales; Bathycoccaceae.